RNAcentral lists this long non-coding RNA (764 nucleotides) under Pongo abelii (Sumatran orangutan). Its description in RNAcentral is "lincRNA". Lineage: Eukaryota; Metazoa; Chordata; Mammalia; Primates; Hominidae. The record is from RNAcentral.
UUUCCACCCUCAUCCAGAGCGGGACAAACAGGCCAGGCGGUGUCAGGAGCACAGGUCUCCAGCUGGAGGGAGUGUCAGCCCUGCAGUAGGAGUCCAUCACGCAUCCUAGGCACAUAUGCUAAUGUAGGUAUCACAGACCAUAAAGGAGAACAGCAAGAGGCUCCCAGCAAACAUCCACAGAUUGCCCUGGACAUCAGCCACAUUCUGAGAAACAUGUCAUGUUCUGGGAGGGCUAAGGCAUCAAGAAUUCAAGUGACUAUAUUGCCACCAUCUUGGAGCUCACUGCCCUCAGUGUAAUGGCACCAGUAGAUCUGCCUGUGCACAGACUUCCUGUACUACCCACUCUUGAGGGGUGAUGCUUCUGCCUCACCAUAUGCUCAGGCCUAUGACCGGAUGCACAACUUUAGACACCAUCAUCCUGGAGCAGCUCUGCACCCUCACUAGCCAGGGUGUUGACAUCCUCAAGGCCAAGGCCACAUUCAAGACUUUGGAUUUCAUUGAUGCACUUGUCCUGAGCAAAGUGGGCAUCUCUGGGAUCUUAAUUCAGGAGGUAGAAUGCAGCUUGAGAUCAAGUGUCUGAUCAAAGAACUUGAACUUGAUCUGGAGGGCUCUGGGGAGCCAGGAAGGUGCUGGAUAAAGAAGGGACUGUCAGAUAUGUUUUAGAGAUGACUGUAGAAGGCUUCCUGAAAGGAGUGAACAAGAGCCAGGAGACCAGGGAGGGAGCUUGUGGGUCAGGUCUGGAGAUGGCAAGGGAGGAAUCCUGC